Molecule: ribosomal RNA, 433 nt
Filed under: uncultured bacterium
Lineage: Bacteria
Description: partial 16S ribosomal RNA
Rfam family: Bacterial small subunit ribosomal RNA
Source: RNAcentral
AACGAACGCUGGCGGCAUGCCUAACACAUGCAAGUCGAACGAGACCUUCGGGUCUAGUGGCGCACGGGUGCGUAACGCGUGGGAACCUGCCCUUAGGUUCGGAAUAACUCCCCGAAAGGGGUGCUAAUACCGGAUAAUGUCUUCGGACCAAAGAUUUAUCGCCUUUGGAUGGGCCCGCGUUGGAUUAGCUAGUUGGUAGGGUAAAAGCAUACCAAGGCGACGAUCCAUAGCUGGUCUGAGAGGAUGAUCAGCCACACUGGGACUGAGACACGGCCCAGACUCCUACGGGAGGCAGCAGUGGGGAAUAUUGGACAAUGGGCGAAAGCCUGAUCCAGCAAUGCCGCGUGAGUGAUGAAGGCCUUAGGGUUGUAAAGCUCUUUUAACCGGGAUGAUAAUGACAGUACCGGGAGAAUAAGCUCCGGCUAACUCCGUG